GACGGGGAGGUUUGGCACCUCGAUGUCGGCUCAUCGCAUCCUGGGGCUGUAGUCGGUCCCAAGGGUUGGGCUGUUCGCCCAUUAAAGCGGUACGCGAGCUGGGUUCAGAACGUCGUGAGACAGUUCGGUCCCUAUCCGUCGUGGGCGUAGGAAAUUUGAGAGGAGCUGUCCUUAGUACGAGAGGACCGGGAUGGACGCACCGCUGGUGUACCAGUUGUUCUGCCAAGGGCAUAGCUGGGUAGCUAUGUGCGGAAGGGAUAAGUGCUGAAAGCAUCUAAGCAUGAAGCCCCCCUCAAGAUGAGAUUUCCCAUAGCGUAAGCUAGUAAGAUCCCUGAAAGAUGAUCAGGUUGAUAGGUUCGAGGUGGAAGCAUGGUGACAUGUGGAGCUGACGAAUACUAAUAGAUCGAGGACUUAACCAUAUAA
This 423-nucleotide ribosomal RNA is filed under the name Bacillus cereus. RNAcentral describes it as "bacterial LSU rRNA". It matches the Rfam family "Bacterial large subunit ribosomal RNA", at positions 2507 to 2925 of the family's 2925-position model. Lineage: Bacteria; Bacillati; Bacillota; Bacilli; Caryophanales; Bacillaceae. The record is from RNAcentral.